AGCGAACGCUGGCGGCAGGCUUAACACAUGCAAGUCGAGCGGGCGUAGCAAUACGUCAGCGGCAGACGGGUGAGUAACGCGUGGGAACAUACCUUUUGGUUCGGAACAACACAGGGAAACUUGUGCUAAUACCGGAUAAGCCCUUACGGGGAAAGAUUUAUCGCCGAAAGAUUGGCCCGCGUCUGAUUAGCUAGUUGGUGAGGUAAUGGCUCACCAAGGCGACGAUCAGUAGCUGGUCUGAGAGGAUGAUCAGCCACAUUGGGACUGAGACACGG
Molecule: ribosomal RNA, 275 nt
Filed under: uncultured bacterium
Lineage: Bacteria
Description: partial 16S ribosomal RNA
Rfam family: Bacterial small subunit ribosomal RNA
Source: RNAcentral